Long non-coding RNA from Medicago truncatula (barrel medic), 1221 nucleotides. RefSeq lists it as uncharacterized. Lineage: Eukaryota; Viridiplantae; Streptophyta; Magnoliopsida; Fabales; Fabaceae. The transcript has 7 exons. The record is from RefSeq and is a predicted model, not a curated record.
GUAUUCUAUGCAAGCCCAAAUAAUCUCCUACUCUUAUUUACCAAUGAAAAAGUAAAUAUUUGAUUCUCUCACGUUUGCCUUCAAAAUUCGGAUGAAUGGAUGAAACUGUCAUCAAUCAUAUUUACUAGAAAAGAAUGAUUGCAGCAGUGAAGGUUCCGCCGACAUCAUUCAAUUUUUUCAUAGGGUUCAGAUUCAAAAAAUUGGACAAAUCAACAGAGGUUAGGAUAAGAGAGUUUGAUAUGUAAGCGGUGUGGAUACGAUGACGGAGAGGGAAACUGUGGAGCUUUCGAUCAAGACGUUCUCGCCCAUAGAGAAUUCUCAGCCAUACUGUGGAUUGAGUUUCUGCAACAAAGCAUACUGCUUAAGUUAAUAAGGAGGUUUAAGCAGAGGCACUGGGCAGUAGGUUGAAUGUUUCUGAUUGUGAGGAGGCUUUUGGUAUCUUUGUAUGUUACUUGCAGAAAUCAAGGUGUGGAGAAGAAUGGUUAAAUUCAUCUGGCCAAAUUGGAUUUGAGAUAUGUCACAGCUCAUGGUUUCAAAUAUGGAGCCAAUAAAAAGUGACAAGGGUAGAACCUUGAAAGGUUGCAUAAGUCAAUGACAACAUGUUUCAACCCCAUCUGUUAAAGAGGUCUAUGUUCAGCCCCAAUUUGAAGAUAACCUUGCAUUAAUGAGUGUACCUUAGGUCCAUUGUGAUUUUUCUCUACUUGAGUUGGUUUUCCGGCUGUCUCUGCAGCUGCCGUUUUGUUUUGCAUGGUUAUCAAUUCAGAUUGCUUCAUCAAUCAUUAAUGAGGCUGUUUUCUGAUCCAGCUGCAUAUUUCUUUGGAAUUAGUUUUUUAGUCGACAGUCUGGUGUUGUUUUUAAGUGUUAGCAUGUUUUGGUUUUGGAGUUAAAUUAUGUUGGAUUUGAUUUUGUAGUUUUUUGGUGUUAUCAUGUUGGCCUAUUGUUGUUUUUAUUGUCAUUUGUUCUGUCAUUGAGCAAUAUUAGCAUUGCUUAUCUCUGUUUUUUUUAUCACACAAUUUUGUAUCAUUUGAUGAUCUAAGUCAUGAUUAAAUGUUGUUCAAAUGAAACAUAAGGAUAUGACAUUAAUAAGUUAGAUGUUGCAUGUGCUUCAGCAAUGGUUAGAGAAACAUAAAUAGGACUUUAGAUAGGGUCUUAAGUUUAGUGUUUGCUGUAGUGUUCUUGAAACUUUGCACAAUUUAAAGGAAUGGUCCAAUUUUGGUUAUA